GGGGAUAUAGUUUAAUUGGUAAAACAUGUAAUUUGCAGUUAUGAGUUAUUAGUUCAAGUCUAAUUAUUUCCA
Molecule: transfer RNA, 72 nt
Filed under: Osmundea sinicola
Lineage: Eukaryota; Rhodophyta; Florideophyceae; Ceramiales; Rhodomelaceae
Description: tRNA-Ala
Rfam family: tRNA
About the family: Transfer RNA (tRNA) molecules are approximately 80 nucleotides in length. Their secondary structure includes four short double-helical elements and three loops (D, anti-codon, and T loops). Further hydrogen bonds mediate the characteristic L-shaped molecular structure. tRNAs have two regions of fundamental functional importance: the anti-codon, which is responsible for specific mRNA codon recognition, and the 3' end, to which the tRNAs corresponding amino acid is attached (by aminoacyl-tRNA synthetases). tRNAs cope with the degeneracy of the genetic code in two manners: having more than one tRNA (with a specific anti-codon) for a particular amino acid; and 'wobble' base-pairing, i.e. permitting non-standard base-pairing at the 3rd anti-codon position.
Source: RNAcentral